AACGCGAAGAACCUUACCAGGUCUUGACAUCCCAUGCAUAGCCUAGAGAUAGGUGAAGUCCUUCGGGACAUGGAGACAGGUGGUGCAUGGUUGUCGUCAGCUCGUGUCGUGAGAUGUUGGGUUAAGUCCCGCAACGAGCGCAACCCUUACUAUUAGUUGCUACGCAAGAGCACUCUAAUGGGACUGCCGUUGACAAAACGGAGGAAGGUGGGGAUGACGUCAAAUCAUCAUGCCCUUUAUGACCUGGGCUACACACGUAAUACAAUGGCACUUAACAACGGGAGGCAAAGCCGCGAGGUGGAGCAAAUCCCCAAAAAGUGUCUCAGUUCGGAUUGCAGGCUGCAACUCGCCUGCAUGAAGUCGGAAUUGCUAGUAAUCGCGGAUCAGCAUGCCGCGGUGAAUACGUUCCCGGGCCUUGUACACACCGAUACUC
Molecule: ribosomal RNA, 433 nt
Filed under: uncultured bacterium
Lineage: Bacteria
Description: bacterial SSU rRNA
Rfam family: Bacterial small subunit ribosomal RNA
Source: RNAcentral